This 407-nucleotide ribosomal RNA is filed under the name uncultured bacterium. RNAcentral's name for it is "partial 16S ribosomal RNA". It matches the Rfam family "Bacterial small subunit ribosomal RNA", at positions 30 to 526 of the family's 1533-position model. The record is from RNAcentral.
AUUGAACGCUGGCGGCAGGCCUAACACAUGCAAGUCGAGCGGAGCGGCGGACGGGUGAGUAAUGCCUAGGAAUCUGCCUGGUAGUGGGGGAUAACGUCCGGAAACGGGCGCUAAUACCGCAUACUAUCAGAUUAGGCUAGGUCGGAUUAGCUAGGUGGGGGGGUAAUGGCCUACCAAGGCGACGAUCCGUACCUGGUCUGUGAGGAUGAUCAGUCACACUGGAACUGAGACACGGGCCAGACGCCUACGGGAGGCAGCAGUGGGGAAUAUUGGACAAUGGGCGAAAACCUGAUGCAGCCAGGCCGCGUGUGUGAAGAAGGUCUUCGGAUUGUAAAGCACUUUAAGUGGGGAGGCGUUACUAACAGAAUAAGCACCGGCUAACUUCGUGCCAGCAGCCGCGGUAAUAC